GUGACGGUGGGGUGUUUUGGACGGGGGGCAAAGACAAGCAGCGAGGGGACUCACAGUUCACCGUUUGCCAGCUGCUGGUGGAGAUGCGAAGAAGCGCUUCGGGGGACUGGAAUGGCGUUGAAGUGAAAGGAAUGCCAGGUUGUUGUCCAAGAGGACGGCGUGUCGCGUUGCUGGCUUGAUCGAGGACCACACGGCGCUGCUGCUGGUUGCCAGAUUUUGGAUUAUCCCGCCUAACAAUGGGCCAAAAGGACCGUUUGGACCGUCUCUCCCUCCGAGCUGCCAGGGGCCGCUCUGCCCCCCCGGCCCCCCAAAGGCUCUCCUCCCCAUUGCACGCACAUGGACGCACGGCCUCUCUGGGACCAGGCUCCCCCCCCCCUCACAUUGAGACUGUUAUUUAACGUGUCCUUGUGUUUAUGGCCAUCCAGUGGCCCACAAGAGAGCCGGUGAGGUAUAUUCUCGUGCACGCACACACAUUUUUUUACACUUAACAAGCGCACGGCGGCCGGAGAAUAUUGUCGAUUUCUUUCAACUUGGCGAUUAAGAACGUGUACACAUGUGUGCGUUUGUGACGCUCUUUUUCCCCACAGUGACUUUUAUUAAGUUGGCUGUCCGCUGUGCGUCUGCAGAACCUGUCUUUGUGUUUGACAUCUGCUGGGAGCAACGCUGGAAUACGUGACCUCCAGGCGCGCAGACAGAACGUAACCAUGGUGGAGACCAGGAUCAGAUCACACUCCGGCUGUCAGAGUCACGACCCCAACUGGAUCAGAGUGAAACCCGUGAAAUAGAACCGGCGCUUUCAGCGUCAGAACCCCAAACCAAAUCUGUCACUCAAACGGCAAACGGAGACCCAGGAAAGGCAGGAGGAGCAAAUGGGAAAGAGAGGAAUUCCUAGAUAGAAAAAUAAGAAGUGUGCUGAGUGGGGUCGCGGCAUCGGCGGUAGCAGCAUCUGUCAGUGAGGAAGGGGCCAAGGAGAGGGAGCGCCUCCUGUUUGUCUCCGCCGUCUCCAAGCCCCAGACCAUAGUCUUCCUGCUAAUUAACCUGCUGACACCUCCUUACCAUUUACAUUUUGGGGGGAGGUGGAUGGAGGCACAGCUGACAAAUGAUAUGCGACCUGGAUCGAUGUCCAGAAGAGGGCCAUUAUACAGACCAGCAGAGAAGACAUCUUCUUGGUGCUGAAGCUUUAAAGGAGAAAAUAGUGGGGAAGCAGCCAAAAAGCCACACAGGCGACUGGAGAUGUAAGACAAGCAGCGGAUGCUGGACGAAAUGGGAAUGAGGAAUAAACCGAUAAAGAAAAACAAAAGGAUCCAGAUACUUUGAUUGUGGCUUCGGGAUGAUUAGUAUGCAAUGUAAUGUCAUGAUAUAGUGUGUCAUAAAAAAACUCAUAAAAAGUCAUAGUAAAGCAUGCAAUAAUAUUUUUGUGAAAAUCUCAUAAAAUAGCAGCUCAUGAAACAUGUCAUAAUAUAUGAUAAAUCUUUGAAAUAAUGCCAUAGCAAUAUCUUCGAAAUGUAAUGAAUAUCAUCAUGAAAAAGUCAUAGAAAUCAUAGCAUGGUUUGUCAUACUUUUAUCUUGUAU
This is a long non-coding RNA of Gasterosteus aculeatus aculeatus (three-spined stickleback), 1572 nucleotides long. The record is from Ensembl. Lineage: Eukaryota; Metazoa; Chordata; Actinopteri; Perciformes; Gasterosteidae.